GAUGAACGCUAGCGACAGGCUUAACACAUGCAAGUCGAGGGGUAGCAGGGGGUAGCAAUACUUUGCUGACGACCGGCGCACGGGUGAGUAACACGUAUGCAACUUACCUAUCAGAGGGGGAUAACCCGGCGAACGUCGGACUAAUCCCGCAUAAAACAGGUGUCCCGCAUGGGUAUAUUUGUUAAAGAUUUAUUGCUGAUAGAUAGGCAUGCGUUCCAGUAGGCAGUUGGCGGGGUAACGGCCCACCAAACCGACGAUGGAUAGGGGUUCUGGGAGGUAGGACCCCACCAUUGGUAUGGUGCCACGAACCAAGCUCCUACGGGAGGCAGCAGUGCAGAAAAUUGGUCAAUGGUGGCGAGGCUGAACCAGACAAGUCGCGUGAAGGAUGAAGGUUCUAUAGAUUGUAACCUUCUUUUAUUGGGAAGUAAAGUGCAGGACGUGUCGUGUUUUGUGUGGACACAACGAAUAAGAAUCGGGUAACUACGUGCAAGCAGACGCAGUAA
This 503-nucleotide ribosomal RNA is filed under the name uncultured bacterium. Its description in RNAcentral is "partial 16S ribosomal RNA". It matches the Rfam family "Bacterial small subunit ribosomal RNA", at positions 28 to 523 of the family's 1533-position model. The record is from RNAcentral.